CCAUAUAGAGUGAGAGUUGCGACAACUCCAUUGACUCCAAUGGAACGCUUUUUUUACAGCAAUGGCGGCUCGUGGAGCCUCUAAAUAGUUCCCGGAAGUAGCAGCAAACCGAUGCCGCGCCGUAGAGAUGCAGCAGAACAAACCAUUUGCGACGCACUUUUAAAAGACCCAGGUAACUGGCUGACGGUUCACUGGAAUGCUGACUGGCUGCUGACUGACUUGCUGCUGGUUGACUGGGCAGUGUCACCUUUUCCUGUCUCGUCUCUAGCCAUGUCCUUUUUCUUCACUGUCACUUUCCCUUCUCUGAGUGUCCUCGUUCUUUUUUCCUUCUUUUCCUUUGAAACUGAUACAUGGUAGAAUACAUGGUAUUGCUAAUUUUAAAUAUUGAAAAUAUCACAUUACUUCAACUAGUACGAGUUUGUACAUAUUAUAUAUGAAUCACCUGAAAUAACAUAGCUGUAAUCAGCAGCCAUUUCUUGUAUGUUCACAGGUCUAGGGGUGCAUCGUGGAGCAGGGCCCUCCUCUUUUUGACCACAGGACGAUGUACAAAGAUUGUGGGAAUAGCAUCUGGUCUCAGCCUACUUUUGAAUUUUUUGGUCAUGACAAAUUGCUUUGCCUCAAUUUGCCUGCAGAGUGACUUCAGUUUAGUUUCCACAGACAACUUUUUUUUUGUCUACCCACAUACAGUACAUACACAUGGUGGUUAAAUGCACAGUUAUAGGUAACACUGAUGACUCACUGCAAUGUCUCACCAUGAGUCUCAGCUCCCUGGGUUUUGCAAGGCUUUGCUUGUUCCUUAUUUCUAGUAAAUCAUUUUCAAUGUAAAAAAGUGCAAAUAAAUUUAAGUAUAAUUACCUAACAA
This is a long non-coding RNA of Carassius gibelio (silver crucian carp), 862 nucleotides long. RefSeq lists it as uncharacterized. The transcript has 2 exons. The record is from RefSeq and is a predicted model, not a curated record. NCBI's taxonomy places the organism in Eukaryota, Metazoa, Chordata, Actinopteri, Cypriniformes, Cyprinidae.